This 542-nucleotide unclassified non-coding RNA is filed under the name Hevea brasiliensis (rubber tree). The record is from RNAcentral. Lineage: Eukaryota; Viridiplantae; Streptophyta; Magnoliopsida; Malpighiales; Euphorbiaceae.
CGGCUGACGGGCUGACACCGUCGCCGCUGUUCCACUUCCCCCGCCAUAUCUCGCGCCACCAGUAACUUAUUGAAAGUGUGCCCAUGGACCUUUUAGAUGAUAUUUUUGCUGGAGGUGCUUCAAAGACUGUCAAGGCUGGUGGCAAGUUUCAACCCAAGGCCAAGCCCCGCCCGGUGAAGAAAGGUCCAGCUGUUGCAUCCUCUUCUUUGACGUCAAAACCCACUGGUGAUACUGUGGCAACUGAUUACUCUGAAGGUUUUAAGAGUGCAAAGAAUUCUCAAAAUUGCGAUGAACAAAGCCCCGUGUUGGCAGAACCUUCCUUGGGGCGUCCUCUUGCUGCAGAAACUUUGGUUCCAUCCGUUGGUUCAAGUCUAGAUGCAAGUAUGGUAAUAACUGAUAACAAUGAAGAUUGGAAAUCUUGCUUUGAGAAAUCUGAGGGAGAGACAUAUAUAUAGGUUUGGAUUCAUUUGAUGAUUUACUUCCUCACUCAAGUGGCAUAGAUCCAUCUGCUGCUCAUGCUGCUGGUGCAGAGAAGCGACAAG